GAAUGAUCAAUUUGCGACUACCCUACUAAAGAAAUCUCGGUCGACGAAGAGCCCAUCAAGCAAACAAUCGCCGAAAUGGGGUCAACCCCUAAACCAGCGCCACCUCUAUCCUGUCAGAUGGGUUCAACGUGGAGGGGAACCGCCUCCACUACAGCUACGAAGGUAACGGGGUGACCAGGUCACACAAGCAGGCAGCACAGUACAGUAUGGAGUCUAAUGGGAGAAGUCAGUUUAGCGGUAGUGAUGCCUGGACUACAUUCAGGUUAGUAACGUCAGGGUUAGUCCGGUAACGUUAGUCAGGGCUAGUCCGGUAACGUUAGUCAGGGUUAGUCCGGUAACGUCAGGGUUAGUCCAGUAACGUCAGGGUUAGUCCAGUAACGUCAGGGUUAGUCCAGUAAUGUCAGGGUUAGUCCAGGGUUAUCAGGGUUAGUCCAGUAACUCCAGGGUUAGUCCAGUAAAGUCAGGGUUAGUCCAGUAAUGUCAGGGUUAGUCCAGUAAUGUCAGGGUUAGUCCAGGGUUAGUCCAGUAACGUCAGGGUUAGUCCAGUAACGUCAGGGUUAGUCCAGUAACGUCAGGGUUAGUCCAGUAACGUCAGGGUUAGUCCAGGGUUAGUCCAGUAACGUCAGGGUUAGUCCAGUAACGUCAGGGUUAGUCCAGUAACGUCAGGGUUAGUCCAGUAACGUCAGGGUUAGUCCAGUAACGUCAGGGUUAGUCCAGUAACGUCAGGGUUAGUCCAGUAACGUCAGGGUUAGUCCAGUAAUGUCAGGGUUAGUCCAGGGUUAGUCCAGUAACGUCAGGGUUAGUCCAGUAAUGUCAGGGUUAGUCCAGUAAUGUCAGGAAACCGUAAAUUCCAGACUAUAAGCCGCAACUUGUUUCCCAGGCUUUGAACCUCGCGGCUUAAACAAUGACGCGGCUAAUAUAUGGAUUUUUCCCGCUUUCACAUUUUUUGUUACAAGCCGUGUUUCGUUAAAGCCUGUGUAAAGUUCAUUUGUUUCAAUGUACCGGUAGGCACCUGCGGCUUAUAGACGUGUGCGGCUUAUUUAUGUUCAAAAUAAUUUAUUUUUUUAAAUUCAGUGGGUGCGGCUUAUAUUCAGGUGCGCUUAAUAGUCCGGAAAUUAUGGUUUAUUAAAUAGUUAUUUACCGGAUGAGUGUGUUGACCUUGGCCACAUCGAUGUCGUACAGCUUCUUGACGGCGUGUUUGAUCUGGUAAGGCUAGUAAUGGACUGAUGAAUGGGUCUAGUAGUUAGGAUUAGAGGUAUACGGGUAGGGUCGUACCUGAUGAAUGGGUCUAGUAGUUAGGAUUAGAGGUAUACGGGUAGGGUCGUACCUGAUGAAUGGGUCUAGUAGUU
RNAcentral lists this long non-coding RNA (1349 nucleotides) under Salmo salar (Atlantic salmon). RNAcentral describes it as "lncRNA (ENSSSAG00000093026.1, ENSSSAG00000100157.1)". The record is from RNAcentral. Lineage: Eukaryota; Metazoa; Chordata; Actinopteri; Salmoniformes; Salmonidae.